Molecule: long non-coding RNA, 426 nt
Filed under: Lepidothrix coronata (blue-crowned manakin)
Lineage: Eukaryota; Metazoa; Chordata; Aves; Passeriformes; Pipridae
Description: lncRNA (ENSLCOG00000016426.1)
Source: RNAcentral
UGUACACUGCAGAGAGCCUCACAACCACAAAACCAGCAAUAAUUUUAUAAAUGAUAAGCUUGUUUUCCUCCUCCUCUUCCCAGAUACUCCGAGUGCAGCAGACAGCAGAGAUGUGCAUUGCUGGAAUCCAGAGUGUUUCGUAAUUUGGCAGCCACUUGCUGAAAGCCCUGCAGAUACAAAACAACACUUAUUUCAAGUCUUGAGAAACAUCUACUAAGUAGAAGAAAAAAGCAUUUAGAGCAUGUUUCACCUCUAUAUGUGCUGACAAGAUCAGAAGUGCAGGGUGCCAGCAUGACUGUGACUGUGUUGAACAGUGCACACCAGUGCUUUCAGAAAUACAGUGGGAUCCUCAAGCUGUAUGCAAAAGACAAGAAGGAGAUGACCCUAUUCAGUGUGAUGAUUUUUCUUUCACUGCUACAUAUGUAA